AAGGCUUUAGCUUAACUAAAGUGUUUGAGUUGCAUUCAGGUGAUGUGGGAUAGAAUCCUGCAAGUCUUA
This 69-nucleotide transfer RNA is filed under the name Coilia reynaldi (Reynald's grenadier anchovy). RNAcentral's name for it is "tRNA-Ala". It matches the Rfam family "tRNA". From Rfam's summary of the family: Transfer RNA (tRNA) molecules are approximately 80 nucleotides in length. Lineage: Eukaryota; Metazoa; Chordata; Actinopteri; Clupeiformes; Engraulidae. The record is from RNAcentral.